CAAUCGGCCCUUUUCAGGGCCACCAAAUGUUUCUUAACGUAUGGAU
Regulatory RNA element from Trichomalopsis sarcophagae, 46 nucleotides. It matches the Rfam family "Histone 3' UTR stem-loop". Rfam says of the family: The mRNAs of metazoan histone genes lack a poly-A tail. 3' end processing occurs at a site between a highly conserved stem-loop (modelled by this family) and a purine rich region around 20 nts downstream (the histone downstream element, or HDE). NCBI's taxonomy places the organism in Eukaryota, Metazoa, Arthropoda, Insecta, Hymenoptera, Pteromalidae. The record is from Rfam.